RNAcentral lists this ribosomal RNA (433 nucleotides) under uncultured bacterium. RNAcentral describes it as "partial 16S ribosomal RNA". It matches the Rfam family "Bacterial small subunit ribosomal RNA", at positions 29 to 507 of the family's 1533-position model. The record is from RNAcentral.
AACGAACGCUGGCGGCAUGCCUAACACAUGCAAGUCGAACGAGACCUUCGGGUCUAGUGGCGCACGGGUGCGUAACGCGUGGGAACCUGCCCUUAGGUUCGGAAUAACUCCCCGAAAGGGGUGCUAAUACCGGAUAAUGUCUUCGGACCAAAGAUUUAUCGCCUUUGGAUGGGCCCGCGUUGGAUUAGCUAGUUGGUAGGGUAAAAGCCUACCAAGGCGACGAUCCAUAGCUGGUCUGAGAGGAUGAUCAGCCACACUGGGACUGAGACACGGCCCAGACUCCUACGAGAAGCAGCAGUGGGGAAUAUUGGACGAUGAGCGAAAGCCUGAUCCAGCAAUGCCGCGUGAGUGAUGAAGGCCUUAGGGUUGUAAAGCUCUUAUACCCGGGAUGAUAAUGACGGUACCGGGUGAAUAAGCUCCGGCUAACUCCGUG